AGAGAAAAGAUCUGAGAGAAAAGCCUGGGACUCUGCCACCCAGCUCCCUGGCCCCUGGGAGAAGCCAUGGCAGAUAUUUGGGAUGAGGCAGCAUGCUGGUCCCUCAGCAGCAUCCUUAUCACGUCAGCUGUGGUAAGUGAUAUUCUUGAUACUUGCUGUUUUGCCAGAAGUUAGAAUAUCGCUUUUCUCUUGAAUUGAUACAUGCUGCUUAGAAGCCACUGGGUUUCUUGGCAUGUCUAUUUAGAAUUACAGAUAACCCAGUAAAAAUUUUCAAACAUCAUGUAACAUGUAUUAUCAAUCCAGGCACGUGUAGAUAUUUGGACUCACGGAGACAGAGGAGUGUCAUGGAAAAAGCAUUGCAUCAGGAAUCAGGAGGCCUGGGGCCUAAUUGAAUCUUUGACUCUAAUGUGAUUUUAGCAAGGGGGCUUAACUGCACGGAGGCACUGUCUUCUCUUCAUGGGAGACCAUCCCCGAUCAUUGCUGCUAUCUCCAUAAAUCCCAAAGGGAAAUGAUACUCAGUCUAUUCCAGAGCUGCAAGACUUACAAUCUCCCGGUCAGGAUUUUUAGGCUCUAAUCCAUGUAAGAGAUCCUGGUCUUUUAGCAGAAAUAGAAAUGUUCUCAAGUAGGGCACGCUGUUAGAGAAUUUUUAAAAAUAAAUUGGGAAGUCAUUGGUAAUUUGUAGUAAGAAGAAAGACUUGUUUUAUAAAUCAAAAUGCCAGAGUCUAAAACGAGCAAGAAUUCCAAUUGCUGACUAUGAAUAUCUGAAUACAGCACUACUUUCUAAUUGCUUCACUUGCUACAGAGAGAAAUAAAACUGUGAGACUGUGAAGUGUAUAAAGGAUUCUACCGCUCUCCCGGGGCUUGGAGACCCACAGAUUGGAGAAAUCUCCAUCUCAAUCUUCUUUGCCACGUCAUGCAUGCCCUUGAAGCAUUAGAAUUCCUUAAAGCUUCAUGGGAGAAUGCCAUGGGAUGAUGAAGACAGAGAUUGGAGUCAUGCAUCUGCAAGCCAAGAAAUGUACAAGAUUGCUGGCAAACCACCAGAAGCUAGGAGCAGACAAGGAAGGAUCCUCCCCUAAAGGUUUCAGAGGGAGCCAUGGCCUUGCUGACAUCUUGAUUUCAGACUU
Molecule: long non-coding RNA, 1124 nt
Filed under: Homo sapiens (human)
Lineage: Eukaryota; Metazoa; Chordata; Mammalia; Primates; Hominidae
Description: HSALNT0393452
Source: RNAcentral